UACGUAGGCAGCAAGCGUUGUUCGGAGUUACUGGGCGUAAAGGGUGUGUAGGCGGUUCUCUAAGUCUGGUGUGAAAUCUCCCGGCUCAACUGGGAGGGUGCGCCGGAAACUGGAGGGCUAGAGUGCGGGAUGGGAGAGUGGAAUUCCUGGUGUAGCGGUGAAAUGCGUAGAUAUCAGGAGGAACACCUGUGGUGUAGACGGCUCUCUGGACCGCAACUGACGCUGAGACACGAAAGCGUGGGUAGCAAACAG
This 252-nucleotide ribosomal RNA is filed under the name uncultured bacterium. Its description in RNAcentral is "partial 16S ribosomal RNA". It matches the Rfam family "Bacterial small subunit ribosomal RNA", at positions 524 to 775 of the family's 1533-position model. The record is from RNAcentral.